CAGCCGCCACGGUAAUACGUAGGGUGCGAGCGUUAAUCGGAAUUACUGGGCGUAAAGCGUGCGCAGGCGGUUUGUUAAGACAGAUGUGAAAUCCCCGGGCUUAACCUGGGAACUGCAUUUGUGACUGGCCGGCUAGAGUAUGGCAGAGGGAGGUGGAAUUCCACGUGUAGCAGUGAAAUGCGUAGAUAUGUGGAGGAACACCGAUGGCGAAGGCAGCCUCCUGGGCCAAUACUGACGCUCAUGCACGAAAGCGUGGGGAGCAAACAGGAUUAGAUACCCGAGUAGUCCCUGUCUCUUAUAC
Molecule: ribosomal RNA, 301 nt
Filed under: uncultured bacterium
Lineage: Bacteria
Description: partial 16S ribosomal RNA
Rfam family: Bacterial small subunit ribosomal RNA
Source: RNAcentral